This 501-nucleotide ribosomal RNA is filed under the name uncultured bacterium. Its description in RNAcentral is "bacterial SSU rRNA". It matches the Rfam family "Bacterial small subunit ribosomal RNA", at positions 94 to 630 of the family's 1533-position model. The record is from RNAcentral.
AGCGGCAGACGGGUGAGUAACGCGUGGGAAAAUACCUUUAGGUUCGGAACAACCCAGGGAAACUUGGGCUAAUACCGGAUAAGCCCUUACGGGGAAAGAUUUAUCGCCGAAAGAUUGGCCCGCGUCUGAUUUGCUAGUUGGUGAGGUAACGGCUCACCAAGGCGACGAUCAGUAGCUGGUCUGAGAGGAUGAUCAGCCACAUUGGGACUGAGACACGGCCCAAACUCCUACGGGAGGCAGCAGUGGGGAAUAUUGGACAAUGGGCGCAAGCCUGAUCCAGCCAUGCCGCGUGAGUGAUGAAGGCCCUAGGGUUGUAAAGCUCUUUUGUGCGGGAAGAUAAUGACGGUACCGCAAGAAUAAGCCCCGGCUAACUUCGUGCCAGCAGCCGCGGUAAUACGAAGGGGGCUAGCGUUGCUCGGAAUCACUGGGCGUAAAGGGUGCGUAGGCGGGUCUUUAAGUCAGGGGUGAAAUCCUGGAGCUCAACUCCAGAACUGCCUUUGA